AUUGAACGCUGGCGGCAUGCUUUACACAUGCAAGUCGAACGGCAGCGCGGGCUUCGGCCUGGCGGCGAGUGGCGAACGGGUGAGUAAUGCAUCGGAACGUGCCCAGUAGUGGGGGAUAGCCCGGCGAAAGCCGGAUUAAUACCGCAUACGACCUGAGGGUGAAAGCGGGGGACCGAAAGGCCUCGCGCUAUUGGAGCGGCCGAUGUCGGAUUAGCUAGUUGGUGGGGUAAAGGCUUACCAAGGCGACGAUCCGUAGCUGGUCUGAGAGGACGACCAGCCACACUGGGACUGAGACAUGGCCCAGACUCCUACGGGAGGCAGCAGUGGGGAAUUUUGGACAAUGGGGGCAACCCUGAUCCAGCCAUGCCGCGUGCGGGAAGAAGGCCUUCGGGUUGUAAACCGCUUUUGUUCGGGAAGAAAUCCUCUGGGCUAAUACCCCGGGGGGAUGACGGUACCGGAAGAAUAAGCACCGGCUAACUACGUG
This 484-nucleotide ribosomal RNA is filed under the name uncultured bacterium. RNAcentral describes it as "partial 16S ribosomal RNA". It matches the Rfam family "Bacterial small subunit ribosomal RNA", at positions 28 to 507 of the family's 1533-position model. The record is from RNAcentral.